RNAcentral lists this transfer RNA (103 nucleotides) under Pilatotrama ljubarskyi. Its description in RNAcentral is "tRNA-Met". It matches the Rfam family "tRNA". From Rfam's summary of the family: Transfer RNA (tRNA) molecules are approximately 80 nucleotides in length. Their secondary structure includes four short double-helical elements and three loops (D, anti-codon, and T loops). The record is from RNAcentral. Lineage: Eukaryota; Fungi; Basidiomycota; Agaricomycetes; Polyporales; Polyporaceae.
GCUUGGAUGGCUCAGUUGGUUAGAGCGCAGGUCUCAUACUCCGUGUAUGACCCCCGCACGGUGGGCAAUCCUGAGGUCGUGAGUUCGAUCCUCACUCCGAGCA